UCACCGCCCCUCGCCAGCAACGCGUUUUCAGGAAGAAGUUGGCGCCAGAAGCCCUGCUUGCUAUUAGCUCUCGGGCUAACUGUAACAAUGACAUAUGUCCUACUAUAAUUUUUUUGGACUCGUGUCACUGUAAAAUAACUCCAACAUGAGUGAAAUGGAGUUCAGCGUCCCCCUGUCAUCCCUGGCUCUCCUGGUCCCUCCUCUCAGGCUGAUGUCUGCAGUGAUGUGGGAAGUGGUACGACAGAGAAACACGAACCACUACGGAAAACUGGAGGAGUUCGUUUCCAUGGUUACAGAUGCUGUACCUGAUCUGAUGAGUAAAAGAGAGGGAAGGCUGCUCUCACUGGGUCUGAGGGCAAGGACCACCUUGGAGCUGCUACGCUCGGAGCACCCUGAAGACCUCAAGGCUGUGGAGACUCACCUGAAUAGAAUCAGGACUUCCUGCAUUGAGGAGGCGAAUGAGCUCGAUCUUGAGGCACCAGAGGCCAACUUUAUGAAGUUGGUCCAGGGUCUCAUUGAGGACACAGAUGGAAGGGAACAUUUUCUUAAGAAUGUCUUUCCUGUCGAGUAUGGCCCUGACUUUGACACAGCACUGGAGACGCUGGUGUGCGAGUUCUUCUCUCGGCUGGAGGAGCUGCUUCCUAUACCAGACUUCAAACAGACUGCAUCCUGGAUAAGUGCUGCCCCCUCUGUCUUGGAAGAGUACAUGCAGUGUGUCUCAAAUGGCGAUGACCUCAAGUUACUUCUCCAGAGCAAGCAGUGUCAUGGAAAGUUGGCUAAGACCAGUGUUGCUCAGUUCCCAUCAGAUGAUCUUCUCAUUUCCUCUUUGUCUCUCCCUCCAUCGCUGGAAGUUGCCAUCACCUCUCAUACCAGUGGCUGUGAUGAUGAAAAUAAUGUCGUUCCUCAGAUUGUCAUGUUCGAUGAGGAGCUGUCUACGCAUCCGUCUACUUCAGCCGACUUUCCCGACUCUCCUAAACAGCCUGAGAUGUCUCCUCCUCGUCGGCGACAGCAGCAGGGAGUCCAUAAAUGCCCUGACUGUGACAAAUGCUUCAAGCAUCACUCUGUCCUUAUCGAGCACCAGCGGCUUCACAGUGGCCUGCAGCCUUACAACUGCUCCGAGUGUGGCAGAGCUUUCAGAACCGCCACCCUGCUCGCUGGGCACAGGCUGCGCAAGUGCAAAAAUGCUGCUUACCUGUGCAUCAAGUGCGGCAACAGCUUUCCCACGUCUCUGGACAAAUUUCGUCAUCACUGCCCGAAACGGGGCCGUAGCUAUGAAUGCAGGCAUUGCAGGAAGACUUUCCAAAAGUCCAGCAGCCUGAAAGAACAUCUACUGACACACUCGCAGAGCCGCCUGUUUAAGUGCAGCCAUUGUGGCCUUGGGUUUUCAGGCAUCGGUGACUUGAAGUAUCAUCAGCAAGUGGAUCAUGAUAAGCCCUAUCAAUGUAAGGAUUGUGGGAAGAGCUUUAUCUCCUCCAAGAGUCUGACUAAACAUCAACAACGCCAUGAAGAGCUCAGAGAAAUGGAGACGGUGAAGAUGAUGAGUGGAGGAAAACACGGGAAAAGUGGGUCCUCUCAUCGCUCCGCCUCAGCAUCGAUGUCGUCCAGAAAAGUGUCUGUCAAGGCGGUUUACACCCGUGGUAGAGUCACACACAACUGUCCGCUGUGUGGGAGGAGUUUCAAGUACCGCUUUGAGUUCCUUGAACAUCAGAGGUUCCACACAGCCACAAAGCCAUACAGAUGCUCCCAGUGUGGGAAAGCCUUCCGCACCGAGGCCCACCUGUCCGGCCACAGGAAGAGGAAGUGUAAAAACGCUGCCCACGUUUGCACCAAGUGCGGCUCACAGUUCAGAUCCCUGCAUGAGCGUGUGAGACACCAGUGUGUGCAGCUGCUCACCAAGUAUCAGUGUUCUCAUUGUGGGAAGACCUUCAAGAUGGCCCACCAGCUGCGCAACCACCAGAUGACCGAGCAUCAGCUCCCCUACAGCCCCAACCACCGCUUCAGGUGCAGGUACUGCGAUGCCACGUUUCCGGGUAUCAGCGAACUCAAGUACCAUCAGAGAGUGGACCACGAGAAGCCAUACCAGUGCCAGGAGUGUGGCAAGUGCUUCCUGUCCGAGAAGUGUCUGUCCAAUCACGAGCUUCGCCACAACGAUGACAGACCAGAGAGCUGUCUGGUUUGUGGUCGCGGCUUUAGAAACCGCUACGACUUAAAGCAGCACAUGCGGACUCACACGGGCGAGCGUCCUUACCAGUGCACCCACUGUUCCCAGUGCUUCUCCACGGCCGGGGGUCUGAGGAGCCACACCCGUGUCCACACCGGUGAGAAACCACACGUCUGUCCGGAUUGUGGGAAGGCGUUCUCCCAGAUGGGAGCAAUGCGCACCCACAGACUCACCCACACGGGAGAGAGGCCCUUCAAGUGCACCGUGUGUGGAAAAGGUUUCACCAUGGCACAUAAGGUAACCGUGCACAUGCGCGUGCACACUGGAGAGAGACCAUACGUGUGCUCCCAGUGCGGGAAAGCAUUUUCUGACGGAAGUGUUCUGAAGCAACACAUGCUAAACCACUCUGGCGUCAGACCCUUCCACUGCCAGAUCUGCCCCAAGACCUACACCUGCCUGAACCACCUGAGGAGGCACCUGAAGAGUCAUUCCAACAUGACAAUCAACGUUAAGUGGACUGACUCGCGUUGAAGUGGCUUUUACUCGGUUUCAUGUCAUGGUUGUUGCAGUUCUAUGAUGGAGACAAUUUUGGUGAGGAUGUAGCCAUGUCUGAUACAUAUACACCAUUAUUUUGGUGUUACGAAAUGGUGAUGACAGCCUAGGUAGGUAUCAAACCAGUGACAGUAUGUGAUAUUUCUGGUUGUAAUGUUAGCUGCUGACUUGUGUUUCUAUUGACAGGUUAUUUCAAAUUGGGUGAGAAGCCCAACCGACCACUUGGGAGUGAGAGUAGAGCUGCUGCCUCAUCACAUAGGAAGUAUUGCGGACGCCUCACUUGGAUCUCACCUGACUUCUUCAGCAGGUUUUCUUUGCACAUCAUGCACAGAGACACCAGGGCGAUCCCAGAUAAGUUUUAAUUGAGCCACAUAGCAAAUGAUGACAUACACAUCUACUUACAUCCGUUUUGAUCGGGGCAGAUUGCUGCUCCAUGCAACAGUCUUUUUGCUGUGUGUCCACGUUUACACUACCUCAACGCUAGAUGGCAGUAUUUCACUGUUACACUUGGGAAAUGUAUUUUUUUAAUAUUUAAUUUAUUUUAUUUGAGUAUUUUAUUUUCAUGAAAUGUUUUGUUUGUGUUUUUAAAGGAAUUAUUAUGACGCAUUAUUUAGGAAAAGCAGGCCUGAUGAACCAGCAUCAGAUGUCCAUUCCCCUUUCCUGUCAUUAUCGGCGUGGUUGAGAAUCUUGAUUAGCCCACCAUUUCCUGUCUGUGAGGCUGUUGUCUAGAACAUCUGAAGCAGACUCUGCUCCACAUGCAGCCAUGAUGACAUCCAGAUUAAUCCCUUCCAUCUGCUCUGGUUUACAUAUUUUGGUUUGGUGAAAAACAAAACCCCUUUCCGUCUAGUGCUGCAACUUUUGGGUCACACUUUCUCAAUUAAAGUCCUAGACAAUGAAGUUCUGAAGUAACACUGCGCUAACGCACACACUGAAGUGAUCAAGUCUCUUUUUUUUCUGUCUGACUCAGAAACACCGGUGAUUCUGCAGAAAGUCAUUUUGCCAGAAUACGCCUCCGGGACGCAAACCAGACCCCUUCCCUGGAAAUACCUCUCUACAUGUUGGUGAACCAAUUUUUACAUGACGCGUUUCCUUUGCUUGUUGGCUUCAGUGUGAGAUCACCCAGUGAUGUCAGCUCACACCUGCCAGCCUCAUGCAGCAAGAAACCUCUGACUUCUGCUCCCUUCACCACAGCUGCAUGAUGAACUUGGUGAACUUGAAAUUUAACGACUCCCCGAAAUAUGUAAUGAGCAUCGUAGAUGAACUUCUACACACUUUGAUACUGCCAACAAUGUACAAUGAGCGCUUGACAUAUAAACCCAGAUCACUGCCAGAUGUGCCUCUUUUCAGCCCUCCUACCAUGUUUCUUCAGAAUCUGGGGGGGAAAAAACGUGAGCUCAGUGGAAAAUUUGAGUCCAACUCUUCACUUGUCCAACAACCAUGGAACAUCCUCCCACACCAACACCUUGCCAAAUCCAGGCUUCCAGCCUCCUCCCACAAACAAGACGCCCCUCUACAGUCAGGGCCGCUAGAUGAUGCUGUUUCCCUUCAGGUUACCGGUGGAAACCGGCGUAAAACCCCUAUUCUCCACCUCCAUACCUCAGCCCCCACCUUAAAAAAAAAACUUUUUUAUGUUCCCGUCAGGUCCAUGGACCGAGGUGAACCAGAUGUAAUGAAACCCCUCCUCCUUUUUCUUCAGAAAAAUUCUUCUACACAAAAAAAAAAUGAUCUCAUGAUGCUGCAGCUGCUUGUCAUUAUGUGUGUUUGCCGCAGUCUACAUGUAUUUUGUGCCCGAGAACUCUUUUAUCUCCCAAGUAAACCUAGACUAAAGCAUUGAUUACAACAAAAGGUCAACGGAUGUUUGGA
Molecule: RNA transcript, 4576 nt
Organism: Synchiropus splendidus (mandarinfish)
Lineage: Eukaryota; Metazoa; Chordata; Actinopteri; Syngnathiformes; Callionymidae
Gene name: zinc finger protein 420-like
Exons: 9
Source: RefSeq, a predicted model, not a curated record